This 475-nucleotide ribosomal RNA is filed under the name uncultured organism. RNAcentral describes it as "partial 16S ribosomal RNA". It matches the Rfam family "Bacterial small subunit ribosomal RNA", at positions 332 to 798 of the family's 1533-position model. The record is from RNAcentral.
UACACUCCUACGGGAGGCAGCAGUGGGGAAUUUUGGACAAUGGGCGAAAGCCUGAUCCAGCCAUGCCGCGUGCAGGAUGAAGGCCUUCGGGUUGUAAACUGCUUUUGUACGGAACGAAACGGCCUUUUCUAAUAAAGAGGGCUAAUGACGGUACCGUAAGAAUAAGCACCGGCUAACUACGUGCCAGCAGCCGCGGUAAUACGUAGGGUGCAAGCGUUAAUCGGAAUUACUGGGCGUAAAGCGUGCGCAGGCGGUUAUGUAAGACAGUUGUGAAAUCCCCGGGCUCAACCUGGGAACUGCAUCUGUGACUGCAUAGCUAGAGUACGGUAGAGGGGGAUGGAAUUCCGCGUGUAGCAGUGAAAUGCGUAGAUAUGCGGAGGAACACCGAUGGCGAAGGCAAUCCCCUGGACCUGUACUGACGCUCAUGCACGAAAGCGUGGGGAGCAAACAGGAUUAGAUACCCUAGUAGUCCCAU